CACGGGGGGAGCAAGCGUUGUUCGGAAUCACUGGGCGUAAAGGGCGUGUAGGCGGUCAGGUAAGUGGAAUGUGAAAGCCCUCGGCUCACCCGAGGAUCUGCAUUCCAAACUGCCUGGCUUGAGUAUGGGAGAGGAUGAGGGAAUUCCUGGUGUAGCGGUGAAAUGCGUAGGUAUCAGGAGGAACACCGGUGGCGAAGGCGCUCAUCUGGCCCAAUACUGACGCUGAGGCGCGAAAGCUAGGGGAGCAAACGGG
Molecule: ribosomal RNA, 253 nt
Filed under: uncultured bacterium
Lineage: Bacteria
Description: partial 16S ribosomal RNA
Rfam family: Bacterial small subunit ribosomal RNA
Source: RNAcentral